AGCGGAUGACCUGUGGCUGGGGGUGAAAGGCCAAUCAAACCGGGAGAUAGCUGGUUCUCCCCGAAAGCUAUUUAGGUAGCGCCUCGUGAAUUCAUCUCCGGGGGUAGAGCACUGUUUCGGCUAGGGGGCCAUCCCGGCUUACCAACCCGAUGCAAACUGCGAAUACCGGAGAAUGUUAUCACGGGAGACACACGGCGGGUGCUAACGUCCGUCGUGAAGAGGGAAACAACCCAGACCGCCAGCUAAGGUCCCAAAGUCAUGGUUAAGUGGGAAACGAUGUGGGAAGGCCCAGACAGCCAGGAUGUUGGCUUAGAAGCAGCCAUCAUUUAAAGAAAGCGUAAUAGCUCACUGGUCGAGUCGGCCUGCGCGGAAGAUGUAACGGGGCUAAACCAUG
RNAcentral lists this ribosomal RNA (394 nucleotides) under Salmonella enterica. RNAcentral's name for it is "partial 23S ribosomal RNA". It matches the Rfam family "Bacterial large subunit ribosomal RNA", at positions 799 to 1191 of the family's 2925-position model. The record is from RNAcentral. Lineage: Bacteria; Pseudomonadati; Pseudomonadota; Gammaproteobacteria; Enterobacterales; Enterobacteriaceae.